This 1310-nucleotide long non-coding RNA is filed under the name Monodelphis domestica (gray short-tailed opossum). Its description in RNAcentral is "lncRNA (ENSMODG00000036663.1)". The record is from RNAcentral. Lineage: Eukaryota; Metazoa; Chordata; Mammalia; Didelphimorphia; Didelphidae.
UGUGCAAUCCAGGCUAGAGUACCCAUGGCAAGUAAUAGUUUCUUUGCCGUCUUGUAUCUUGAAAAGCCUUUUGCAACAGAAAAAAUGUUUUUAAGUCUGGCCCUUUAAGAGUUGCCUCCUCCCUUCAGGGGGAGUGGUUACUUUUGGGCGUGGUAUCACUAGGCAGAUUAGUUGCACUCAGCACUGCUCUCAAAAUGGUUACUUUUCACAGUCACACAGGCUUUUGAAAUGUAUGCAGGCCCAACUUAUCUGAAACCUCCAGUUGCUUCCUUUUCCCAAAUUCUUAACAAAAAUAGGUUGGAAAACCUACCUGGCUCACCAAAAACUGUAAUAUUUAUUGGGAAAGGAAAUAGGAUUGGGAAAAAUGGGGAUAAAUGGGAGGUUUCUAUGGGGUGUCGGAGGAGAGAGGAGCUUGUUCAGCCCAGUCUGGAGCGGCACACUCUUCGUGGUUCAGCUAGAAGAUUCAGGCCCAGGAUUCUGAAGCUUCAGAAAAGAGAAGAUGAGCUACAGAGACGGCAGAAAGCAACUCUUUCCCUUCAAGAAAAAGGAAGAUGAGCUGCUGGCUGAGGUACUAAACCUGGUGCUGAAAUGCAACACAACUUUUAAUAGUAUAUAAAGCAAUUUUUAAAUCUCUCAACAUCUUAUUUCUGUCAGAAGGGUGAUUUCAGGGGUGCCUAAGUGUGUGUUUAAAUUCUUACUCUGUCUUUAUUUAUUGUUUUUGAAUAGUUGUUCCAUUUAAAUAUUUGUAUUGGCUUGGGAGAAUCUUAGCUAAUGGGGGUAUAAUAAUUCUAGAACACAAUGCCACAUCACGCCAUUUAAAAAUAACUUAUUACUAUCAGAAUUUCAUCUCAGCAACAAAUUAAAAAUUGUCUAAUUUGUAAGCUUUUGAAAGAAAACUGGAACAUAAGAUCUGUGCAGAAAAAUAAUGUGCUAAAUCUGAACAGUGGCAGAAAAGACUUGGGCAUAUAGCACAAGUUAUAUGGGCAGGCCAAACGUCAGGUACUGUACUAAGAUAUCAUUAACUUCCCUGAACUACAUAAAUUAAGCUGAUUAUGUCUUCACUUAAUUAACUGAGAAUGACCUAUUGAUGUAUUGGCAGAGCAAGAUAGAGACCCGUGUCCUGCACUGUACUAAAUUUAUUGGUUUUCAAUUAGUUCUACCAUUGUCUGUGACUAUUGAGAAAAAAUGAGCUUACUUCUAUGUUCUGUGCUAUGCUUUUUGUACUUAUCUUACUAUUUGAAAUCAUACUGUAACAUACUACAAUAGCCAUUAUUUGAAAUCAUACUAUAAGCAGUUUCUUUUUAAAAGUU